GCCGGAGUAGCUCAGAUAGUUAGAGCGGGCGCUUCAUAAGCGCCAGGUCACAGGUGCAACUCCUGUCUCCGGUACUA
RNAcentral lists this transfer RNA (77 nucleotides) under Candidatus Taylorbacteria bacterium RIFCSPHIGHO2_01_FULL_43_47. RNAcentral's name for it is "tRNA-Met". It matches the Rfam family "tRNA". Rfam says of the family: Transfer RNA (tRNA) molecules are approximately 80 nucleotides in length. RNAcentral also lists the same sequence under 3 other names. Lineage: Bacteria; Candidatus Tayloriibacteriota. The record is from RNAcentral.